Molecule: unclassified non-coding RNA, 892 nt
Filed under: Hevea brasiliensis (rubber tree)
Lineage: Eukaryota; Viridiplantae; Streptophyta; Magnoliopsida; Malpighiales; Euphorbiaceae
Source: RNAcentral
GGACCAGUUGUGACUUCAACACCAGGUGUCUCAAAGUUCUCAGGGUGUCCAGGGGUUUUGCUUCCCCACUGGCGGAAGCUCUUCAAGUCCUCUUCCCUAACAGCAUCAUAGCCAGCGAGGUGAAGCAAAGCAUACUGAAGCAUACAUCCAUGUCCGGCGGAGAGAACAAAGCGAUCACGAUUAAACCAAUAAGGGUUUUUGGGGUUAUAUCUCAUGAUCUCAUCAUACAAUAUAUGACCCAUAGGAGCACACCCCAUAGGUAAACCCGGAUGACCCGAAUUCGCCUUUUCAACAGCAUCAAUAGCCAAAAAUCUGAUCGUAUUUACAGAUUUCUCAACAAGGGCAUUAUCAGUUUUCUGUAAAGUCUCUACUGCAGCUGAAGCGCGAAUCGCCGAGUGUCUUCCGGCGCCGGCAGCGGAGGGAAGAAUACGGCGGCGGAAUGAGGUAGCAGUGGUGGAUUUGAGACCGGAAAAAGUCGGAAGAGAGAUGGAAGAAGGGGAAAGCUGAGAGUUAGGGGAAGAAGAAGAGCCAUGGCGAGAAACUGAACGAGAAAGGAUAGCUUGAGAGAGAGUGAGAGAAGAAGAAGAAGAAAAGCUGGAGUCUAUACUUAGAAGCAAUCUUCAGACCAUAUUGCUAAUUCAUAGUUGAUUUUAGCUUCCAGGAACUGUAAAAUCUUCCAUGGGUAAGGAAGACUGUUGCUCAACGCAACUAAUAGAUGCUAAUGGAGAAUUCAACUUCAAAGGUCUACAGAAUUUCGUUAGCUCUGUCAAACUUCCUCGCUGUGGUCUCUCUUAUGCUGUUGUUGCUAUUAUGGGACCCCAGAGUAGUGGGAAAAGUACCUUAUUAAACCAUUUAUUCUAUACUAAUUUUAGGGAGAUGGAUGCUUUUAGAG